ACGGGGCUAAACCAUGCACCGAAGCUGCGGCAGCGACACUGUGUGUUGUUGGGUAGGGGAGCGUUCUGUAAGCCUGUGAAGGUGUGUCGUGAGGCAUGCUGGAGGUAUCAGAAGUGCGAAUGCUGACAUAAGUAACGAUAAAGCGGGUGAAAAGCCCGCUCGCCGGAAGACCAAGGGUUCCUGUCCAACGUUAAUCGGGGCAGGGUGAGUCGACCCCUAAGGCGAGGCCGAAAGGCGUAGUCGAUGGGAAACGGGUUAAUAUUCCCGUACUUGGUGUUACUGCGAAGGGGGGACGGAGAAGGCUAUGUUGGCCGGGCGACGGUUGUCCCGGUUUAAGCGUGUAGGUGUGUGUUCCAGGUAAAUCCGGUUCACUUUAACACUGAGGCGUGACGACGAGGCACUACGGUGCUGAAGCAACAAAUGCCCUGCUUCCAGGAAAAGCCUCUAAGCAUCAGGUAACAUCAAAUCGUACCCCAAACCGACACAGGUGGUCAGGUAGAGAAUACCAAGGCGCUUGAGAGAACUCGGGUGAAGGAACUAGGCAAAAUGGUGCCGUAACUUCGGGAGAAGGCACGCUGACACGUAGGUGAAGUGAUUUACUCAUGGAGCUGAAGUCAGUCGAAGAUACCAGCUGGCUGCAACUGUUUAUUAAAAACACAGCACUGUGCAAACACGAAAGUGGACGUAUACGGUGUGACGCCUGCCCGGUGCCGGAAGGUUAAUUGAUGGGGUCAGCGCAAGCGAAGCUCCUGAUCGAAGCCCCGGUAAACGGCGGCCGUAACUAUAACGGUCCUAAGGUAGCGAAAUUCCUUGUCGGGUAAGUUCCGACCUGCACGAAUGGCGUAAUGAUGGCCAGGCUGUCUCCACCCGAGACUCAGUGAAAUUGAACUCGCUGUGAAGAUGCAGUGUACCCGCGGCAAGACGGAAAGACCCCGUGAACCUUUACUAUAGCUUGACACUGAACAUUGAGCCUUGAUGUGUAGGAUAGGUGGGAGGCUUUGAAGUGUGGACGCCAGUCUGCAUGGAGCCGACCUUGAAAUACCACCCUUUAAUGUUUGAUGUUCUAACGUGGACCCGUUACCCGGGUUGCGGACAGUGUCUGGUGGGUAGUUUGACUGGGGCGGUCUCCUCCUAAAGAGUAACGGAGGAGCACGAAGGUUGGCUAAUCCUGGUCGGACAUCAGGAGGUUAGUGCAAUGGCAUAAGCCAGCUUGACUGCGAGCGUGACGGCGCGAGCAGGUGCGAAAGCAGGUCAUAGUGAUCCGGUGGUUCUGAAUGGAAGGGCCAUCGCUCAACGGAUAAAAGGUACUCCGGGGAUAACAGGCUGAUACCGCCCAAGAGUUCAUAUCGACGGCGGUGUUUGGCACCUCGAUGUCGGCUCAUCACAUCCUGGGGCUGAAGUAGGUCCCAAGGGUAUGGCUGUUCGCCAUUUAAAGUGGUACGCGAGCUGGGUUUAGAACGUCGUGAGACAGUUCGGUCCCUAUCUGCCGUGGGCGCUGGAGAACUGAGGGGGGCUGCUCCUAGUACGAGAGGACCGGAGUGGACGCAUCACUGGUGUUCGGGUUGUCAUGCCAAUGGCACUGCCCGGUAGCUAAAUGCGGAAGAGAUAAGUGCUGAAAGCAUCUAAGCACGAAACUUGCCCCGAG
This 1645-nucleotide ribosomal RNA is filed under the name Salmonella enterica. Its description in RNAcentral is "partial 23S ribosomal RNA". It matches the Rfam family "Bacterial large subunit ribosomal RNA", at positions 1175 to 2803 of the family's 2925-position model. RNAcentral also lists the same sequence under 1 other name. The record is from RNAcentral. Lineage: Bacteria; Pseudomonadati; Pseudomonadota; Gammaproteobacteria; Enterobacterales; Enterobacteriaceae.